CAGACAGAUCUGAGCAGUUCACGGAAGAGAGGAUGAGAGUCUGAGGAAGUCCAGGCUCUGGAUGGCUCGGGAGGCGCCCUAGUCCCGGAAGGAUCGGAGCAGCUCGUCCUCGCCCCUCCUGCUGUCUGCCUGGGGACCAUGGCGCACCGCGCUGCCUGCUGAUCGGCCGGCCGUGGGCGGGACCCGGCUGCUGUCCAUGCCUCGGCGAGGCCGCCGCGACCCCCAGCAGACGGACGGCCCCGAGGCUGGGCGGCCAUCAGAGCCGCGGGCCGG
Molecule: long non-coding RNA, 273 nt
Filed under: Ictidomys tridecemlineatus (thirteen-lined ground squirrel)
Lineage: Eukaryota; Metazoa; Chordata; Mammalia; Rodentia; Sciuridae
Description: lncRNA (ENSSTOG00000033134.1)
Source: RNAcentral